GAGAGAGAGAGAGAGAGAAAGAGAGGGGGAGAGAGAGAGAGAGAAGAGAGAGAAGUUGAAUGUAAGUUUUGUGACGUGGACUCGACAGACGGGCACCACCACCUUGUCUGGUGUAAUACGACGGGAUGAUAAAGCGGGUUUUGUACACUCGUUAGACGUAGAACGCGAGUACCCUUUUCAAACAUUACCACAAUCGCCAUUGCCAUCGCCAUUGCCAUCAGCAUCACCAUCACAAUCUCAACGUAUUAUUGUAAAAGAAAUUCUCUCAUAAUUAUCGGCUUUGCCCCCGAAACAACGAGAGCUUCGAAGGGUGGUGGGGAAAGAAGUGGGGGUAGGGGGAAUGAUAAAGCACAACGAUGAUAAUAAUAAUGAUAAUAAUAAUAAUAACAAUAAUAAUAAUAAUAAUAAUAAUAAUAAUAAUAAUAAUAAUAAUAAUAAUAAUAAUAAGAAAUAAUUAUGAUCUUGCUACUGAUUAUAAAGAUGACUGCGAUUAUGUUUACGAUGAUUAUACGAUGAUUACGAGGAUGAACGAUGAUGGGAAGAGGAAAGGUUUAUGAGAGAGGGAUGGGAGGUGAUGGGAGGAACGACGACGUUAACUGAAGAAGGACAAAUGAUGAGAUUAAAAAGAAAGAGACUGGGGAAUGGAAUGGGAUGGGAUAGGUAAGGGAUGUAAGGAGGGGUUAGGGGAAGGGACGUAAGAUAUAAUGAGGUUGACGAGAAUGAAUGACGACAUGGAUGAUGAUGCGGGACAUAAGGGUUCUCUCUCUCUCUCUCUCUCUCU
Long non-coding RNA from Vespa mandarinia (Asian giant hornet), 781 nucleotides. NCBI's taxonomy places the organism in Eukaryota, Metazoa, Arthropoda, Insecta, Hymenoptera, Vespidae. The record is from RefSeq and is a predicted model, not a curated record.